RNAcentral lists this ribosomal RNA (96 nucleotides) under Trueperella pyogenes. Its description in RNAcentral is "partial 23S ribosomal RNA". It matches the Rfam family "Bacterial large subunit ribosomal RNA", at positions 2833 to 2925 of the family's 2925-position model. Lineage: Bacteria; Bacillati; Actinomycetota; Actinomycetes; Actinomycetales; Actinomycetaceae. The record is from RNAcentral.
GCCCCCGGCAGACUACCGGGUUGAUAGGCCAGAGGUGGAAGCACCGCGAGGUGCUCGUGAGCCGACUGGUACUAAUGGGCCGACACUAACAAACAC